CAGCAGCCGCGGUAAUACAGAGGGUGCGAGCGUUAAUCGGAUUUACUGGGCGUAAAGCGUGCGUAGGCGGCUUCUUAAGUCAGAUGUGAAAUCCCUGAGCUUAACUUAGGAAUUGCAUUCGAUACUGGGAAGCUAGAGUAUGGGAGAGGAUGGUAGAAUUCCAGGUGUAGCGGUGAAAUGCGUAGAGAUCUGGAGGAAUACCGAUGGCGAAGGCAGCCAUCUGGCCUAAUACUGACGCUGAGGUACGAAAGCAUGGGGAGCAAACAGGAUUAGAUACCCCCGUAGUCCCUGUCUCUUAUAC
Molecule: ribosomal RNA, 301 nt
Filed under: uncultured bacterium
Lineage: Bacteria
Description: partial 16S ribosomal RNA
Rfam family: Bacterial small subunit ribosomal RNA
Source: RNAcentral